Molecule: non-coding RNA, 76 nt
Filed under: Clostridiales bacterium
Lineage: Bacteria; Bacillati; Bacillota; Clostridia; Eubacteriales
Description: c-di-GMP sequence
Rfam family: c-di-GMP-I riboswitch aptamer
About the family: GEMM was predicted in a large-scale screen for bacterial structured RNA regulatory elements.
Source: RNAcentral
AACGACGAUCGGCAAAGCAGAUGAAAGUCUGUGACGCAAAGCUACAGGGCCUGUAAAAUGGCAGCCAGUUGCAUGA